Molecule: ribosomal RNA, 497 nt
Filed under: uncultured bacterium
Lineage: Bacteria
Description: partial 16S ribosomal RNA
Rfam family: Bacterial small subunit ribosomal RNA
Source: RNAcentral
GAUGAACGCUGGCGGCGUGCCUAAUACAUGCAAGUCGAGCGAACGGACGAGAAUCUUGCUUCUCUGAUGUUAGCGGCGGACGGGUGAGUAACACGUGUAUAACCUACCUAUAAGACUGGGAUAACCUCGGGAAACCGGAGCUUAUACCGUAGAAUAUUUUGAACCGCAUGGUUGAAAGGUGAAAGACGGUCUUUCGGGCACUUAUAGAUGGAUCCGCGCUGCUUUAGCUAGUUGGUAAGGUAACGGCCUACCAAGGCAACUAGGCAUAGCCGACCUGAGAGGGUGGUAGGCGACACUGGAAGGGGGACACGGUCAUGACUCCUGCGGGAGGCAGCAGUCGGGAAUGUUCCGCAGUAGGGGAAAACAUGACACAAUGACGCGGAGUGGGUGGUGAAAGUGUUGGGAUCGUAAAACCGUCUUAUUAGGGAAGAACAUAUGUGUAAGUAAAUGAGGAGAUAUUGACGGUAACUAGUAAGAAAGCAACGGCUAACUACGUG